Oryza sativa Japonica Group (Japanese rice) is the source of this 2797-nucleotide non-coding RNA. Lineage: Eukaryota; Viridiplantae; Streptophyta; Magnoliopsida; Poales; Poaceae. The record is from RefSeq and is a predicted model, not a curated record.
AGUGAUAUAUUACAUAUUGAUAUAUCUUAUCAAUUUUUUUUAAAAAAAUUCAUAACUAUCUAAUUGACAUGUAAUAAAUGGGUAGAUGUCCAUUUGAGCUAUUAGAAUCCAUCUCCUGCAUUUGUGAUUAUCCACCAGCUGAUCGAGACCAGCUUCAAAUCGUCGAAAAUUAGAAUGGCCAAGUAAUCUGCCCCGAUAGGAAGGGUACUAUAAGCACACAAGCACAACCUGCACGACAGGUUGCAGCGCCUUCUAAUAUCGAUCCCGGCGAACAAAAAAAUCUGGUGCAAGUUGAGCGCCCGCGCGAGCAACACAACCGUGGGCACGGAGCUGGACGUUGACACGCAUAUCGGUGAUGAGAAUACGAGAGCAUACGAGACGGGGAGAUGCCCCGCCGAUUUGGAGCCGGAGAUCUCGAAACGAUCGAUGCCGAUCCACGUGGGCAAGCGCUGCGUACGUCGUCGUGCAACGCGACGCCUUCGUUUUCGAUGGAUCCUCCCGGCCGCGCCCGCGCGAGGUCAGCGUCUCGCGAGGCCGCGAAGCAAAAAAAAAACGCAACGACGCGCGCGCGCGAGGUGGUGGGCCGCGACGAUCGCACGGGGAUCUCCGCGUUUUUGGCAAGAAAACCGUAGCAUUUCCGCGCACGCCCGGUGUGCUCGGCUCGUUCGCGCGGCACGGGUCAUCUAUCGUCGAUCGCCUCGCGGCUGCAGGACAGGACAGGAGGAGGAGGACGAAAAAUUGUUCGUUCCGGGUGGCUUACGGUGGCACGAAAGAAAGUUGCGCUUGAUGUUUACGCACGAAUAGUCAGACCGAUCUACGACCACCGAUCACCACGGGAUCGAGUGGUCUCGUCCAUGCCACGGAUUAGUGGAUGAGAUCGAAAGCAAGGUGAUAUAGUACUUAACAACAAUUAUUGGUCACCAAUUCAGGGCUAUCAAGUAACCUCGCUCUGAGUAAUGAUUAUGUGUGCAUCAAUGUAAAUUAAUCGAUCCAUGCGUAGCCAAGAUGAGAUGUGACAUUUUUCUGGCUGUAGCGUUGUAUUUAUGUGUGGAAACGCAAGGUCAAGACGAGGGGCUAAUGAACUGCCAGAAGCAUCUGGAUCAUGGAAUUGCAAAAUAGAAGUAGCUGCAAGUACUGUACUUGCAUCAGCCUAUAUAGAGAUAUAUACAACGAAUGCUAGCGUCUCCCACUACCGAACUCACUAAUCAAAGAUAUCCCUCGAAUUAAUCUAGGAGCGCUGCUGAUCGAGAAGAUAGGCAUCGGGCACUAAAAAAACUGCUGCAUCAUUUCGACGCAAAACUAAUCUCCAUCAGACACUAGUUAAUUAAGAUAUACUUGUUUAAUUAGUCCUGUGUGAGCUCUCCAAUUUACAAAGUUGUGGACAAUGGAGCUCCGAAAUGAGCUAGCUCAACGACAAAAACACUCACUAGUCCUUCCAAAAUUAACCUAACUAAGAACUCCUAUACUAGUACAGUAAUUGCGUCGAUUAGAGGCAGAUAUUGGGGUUGCGUUGGAUCAUUGGAUGGAUGGAUGUGAAGAGGAGGAAUUUUUUUUUUUGGGUGGUGGAUGGCGGCAAGUGGUGGACGGGUGGUGGUACGAGACGGCGAGCAUUUUUGUGUAGGUGAGCUCCUCCCCUCCCCUGGAAUCCAAUCCAAUUCUGAUGCGCGUGCCGCGCCCCCAAUCAUUCGAUUCACGUCAAUUUUUGGUGUUUUCCUCGACGCCUUUUUUCACCGCACCCAUCUUGUUCACGCACGCACACCAGCGCGCCGCAGUUGGCGAGCUCUCGUCCUCACCAAUCAGGUUAUCUACCAGCUUUACACGUACGCGAAUUUCUGUCGGCUAUUGGCGUGCUUCUGCUUCACGUAGCUGAAAAUACGUGCUACGAUCCCUCUUUGACUAGAGGGUUCAGGUUCAGCGAAUGGUUGGUUAUCUUAUCUGAGCAAAACUCCUUCCGAUGUUCAUAUGCCAAACGAAAAGUAUAGUAUAAUUCGAAUACGAGAAAAGAGCAGUCAUGUUCCAUCUAUAAUAAGGUAUGAGGUGAUGAGGGAGAGCAGCACAAGAGAAGAAAUGGGCAAUGCUCCAAGCAAUUGUUGGCUAACCGUGCGUGAUUAGCAUCGCCCGAGUCAAAAAGACGCGGGGCCUAAUGGAAAGCUCCCUUCUACUCCACGCGACGCGAUACGGGGCGGCCUGAUCACGCACUCAAUAUGGACGAUGUGGACGUGUGUGGAUCGGCGGUGAUCGCCGACGCAAUCAAUGGUUCUCCGGAGUUUAGAAUCGUUUUCUCUUAAAGGUUGGUGGUCGGGUGAUAGUGCCAUACUAUCAUGCGAGUUCAUCUAGUUUUUGACUUGGCACCUCCAAGAUGCGAGUCCUGAAACGCGGCUUCUGCGCCAUGGCACGCUACUCGCUAGUGCUCCACCAUCUUCCUCCCAUACAGGAAGAGCCCAAAGGGACAGUAGUGGUGUAGUCGUAGUUGUGCCCGUGAAAGCAUGAGCUCCUGUCUGCCCUCUUCAAUACUUCAGCUACCCGAGGACAGAAUACUGAUAAUGGGUAGGCUAGUAACAGUAGAAGUAACUGCACGCACUCCUGCUUCAGAUCUUCAGAGAAACUGUGCAGCGUGCAGGCACAUGCUCCUGCCCGCUUACCUCCUGAUAGUCUCUUGUGUCCUGCGAGCCCGAGUCUCCAUGGUGAUUUAAUUUGUGACUUGUAGGUAGACUGGACUGGAUCAUAGCAAAACAAUCAUGGAUAGUUCCCGUUCUUUUCCGAUUAACAGAACAAUUAAGAUACAGAUUCUAUCUUA